RNAcentral lists this ribosomal RNA (460 nucleotides) under uncultured bacterium. RNAcentral's name for it is "partial 16S ribosomal RNA". It matches the Rfam family "Bacterial small subunit ribosomal RNA", at positions 338 to 795 of the family's 1533-position model. The record is from RNAcentral.
CCUACGGGGGGCAGCAGUGAGGAAUAUUGGUCAAUGGACGAGAGUCUGAACCAGCCAAGUAGCGUGAAGGAUGACUGCCCUAUGGGUUGUAAACUUCUUUUAUAUGGGAAUAAAAUGUUCCACGUGUGGGAUUUUGUAUGUACCAUAUGAAUAAGGAUCGGCUAACUCCGUGCCAGCAGCCGCGGUAAUACGGAGGAUCCGAGCGUUAUCUGGAUUGAUUGGGUUUAAAGGGAGCGUAGGUGGAUUGUUAAGUCAGUUGUGAAAGUUUGAGGCUCAACCGUAAAAUUGCAGUUGAAACUGGCAGUCUUGAGUACAGUAGAGGUGGGCGGAAUUCGUGGUGUAGCGGUGAAAUGCUUAGAUAUCACGAAGAACUCCGAUUGCGAAGGCAGCUCACUGGACUGCAACUGACACUGAGGCUCGAAAGUGUGGGUAUCAAACAGGAUUAGAUACCCUUGUAGUC